AGUGUCCCCAGUUCCCCCAGUACACAUCUCCAAUCCCAGUUUUUCCAGUCCUAAUGCCCCUGGUCACCCAGUACACAUCUCCAGUCCCAGUGUCCCCAGUACCCCCCCCACUUUGUGUCCCCACUCCCAAUUUUUCCAGUUCCAGUUUUCCCAGUUCCCCCAGUAUACAUCCCCAGUCCCAGUUUCCUUCAGCCCUAUUCUCCCAGUGCCCACAGUUUGCAUUCCCAGUCCCAGUGUCCCCAGUCCCUCCAGUACACAUCUCCAGUCCCAGCAUCCCCAGUUUGUAUCCCCAGACCCUCCAGUACACAUCUCCAGUCCCAGUAUCCCCAGUGCCCCCAGUUCGCAUCCCCAGUCCCAGUGUCCCCAGUCCCCCUAGUGCACAUUUCCAGUCCCAGUGUCCCCAGCGCUCCCUGUCUUUCUAGUCCCAGUGUCCCCAGUCCCAGUGCUCCCAGUGCCCCCAGUUUGUGUCCCCAGUCCCAGUUUUCCCAGUCCCAGUGUCCCCAGUCCCCCCAAGUACAUAUCUCUAGUCCCAAUGCCCCCCACCAUCCCCGUGUCCCCACCUCCCCGCUCCCAGUGCUCCCAGUACCCCCCCAGUCCCUCCCAGUGCUCACGGGUUGGUGCUGCCCAGCAGGAAGAAGGCGCUGCCCUCAGGGAUCGGUGCCACUUUGUUCUUGGGGGGCUCCUCCAGGCUCUCCAGCCGUUGCCUCCCCAGGCUGUCCCGCUCCCCCCCGGCCCCUUCAUCACCUGUGGGGAACCACCAGUGCGUGGGGGGGGUCCUUCUGCCCCCUCCAAAGGGAGGGGGGGUCCUUCUGCCCCUUCUUCCCCCUCUUUUCCCCCCCUCCAGGGAUUUUGACGUGGGGCUGACCUUCCUCGCUGCCCUCCUCCUCCUCUUCCUCCUCCUCCUCCUCCUCCUCCUGCUGCUGCUCCCCUUCGACCUGGAGGAGUGUGCAAGGCCGUGCACAUGCGUGUGAGGUCAUGGGUUGGGUCAUGAGAGGGCUGUGCAUACAUGUGUUGGGGGGGUGCAAGCG
Molecule: long non-coding RNA, 1028 nt
Filed under: Phasianus colchicus (ring-necked pheasant)
Lineage: Eukaryota; Metazoa; Chordata; Aves; Galliformes; Phasianidae
Description: lncRNA (ENSPCLG00000020278.1)
Source: RNAcentral